Molecule: ribosomal RNA, 382 nt
Filed under: uncultured bacterium
Lineage: Bacteria
Description: bacterial SSU rRNA
Rfam family: Bacterial small subunit ribosomal RNA
Source: RNAcentral
GAUGAACGCUAGCGGCAGGCUUAAUACAUGCAAGUCGUGGGGCAGCAGGGGUAGCAAUACCCGCUGGCGACCGGCAAACGGGUGCGGAACACGUACGCAACCUUCCUUUAACUGGAGAAUAGCCCCUCGAAAGAGGGAUUAAUACUCCGUAACAUAUUGAUAAGGCAUCUUAUUAAUAUUAUAGCUCCGGCGGUUAAAGAUGGGCGUGCGACUGAUUAGAUAGUUGGCGGGGUAACGCCCACAAGUCUGCGAUCAGUAACUGGUGUGAGAGCACGACCAGUCACACGGGCACUGAGACACGGGCCCGACUCCUACGGGAGGCAGCAGUAAGGAAUAUUGGUCAAUGGACGAAAGUCUGAACCAGCCAUGCCGCGUGGAGGAU